This 542-nucleotide ribosomal RNA is filed under the name Paratylenchus labiosus. Its description in RNAcentral is "partial large subunit ribosomal RNA". It matches the Rfam family "Eukaryotic large subunit ribosomal RNA", at positions 421 to 813 of the family's 3401-position model. Lineage: Eukaryota; Metazoa; Nematoda; Chromadorea; Rhabditida; Tylenchulidae. The record is from RNAcentral.
GGAUAGAGCCAGCGAAGUCGCUCCUAUUCAGCCAAAGGCCUGGGGCAUCGGUGUGUCCGGUUGCUAAUCACGCCUGUCGCGCCUUUUGCUUCUGAUUGAGGUGCAUUUGCAGGCGUUUGCGCUGAGACUUGCGGAUCAGCGUCUGGACCCGUGCCUAGAGGCCGUCCUUGUGGCGGAACUUGGGCACGGCGACGGUUAUUUGGUCUGCUCGUACCACGGCUUGGCCUACGGACAGGGGCGCAGUCGUUGCUUUCGGGCGUUGGCAUCGCAUGCGAUGACUCGUUCGGGAGCCGCGGUGGUGUUCCUCGUUCCCAAGUCGGCUCUCGGUGUAAAAGCUGGUCACCUAUCCGACCCGUCUUGAAACACGGACCAAGGAGUUUAGCGUAUACGCGAGCCAUUGGGUGUCAAAACUCACAGGCACAAUGAAAGUGAAGGCCCAUCCGGUGGGCUGACAUGCGAGUUGGUGGGCCUCGGCCUGCCGAUGCAGCAUGGUCCCGUUCCAUUCGCUUGCGAUGGAGCGGAGACAGAGCGUAUGCGCUGAG